UACCAUUUUAUGGCUUUACAGCCUUCGCCUUUUCUUCCAAAGCAAGUUCCACUUGUUAUAAAGUUAGGAUUUUUCUUUUAAUUAAUAAAGUUAGGAGGGCGUUGUAUCAUAAUAUAUGCUUUACAGUCAAUUACCAGAUUAUUUAUUAAACUAGUGAAAUGUUAAUGCUCAUGCAAGAAGAUUCAUUUUAAUUCUAAGAUUGAUGUUCGAA
This 211-nucleotide unclassified non-coding RNA is filed under the name Hevea brasiliensis (rubber tree). The record is from RNAcentral. Lineage: Eukaryota; Viridiplantae; Streptophyta; Magnoliopsida; Malpighiales; Euphorbiaceae.